Molecule: long non-coding RNA, 2233 nt
Organism: Coregonus clupeaformis (lake whitefish)
Lineage: Eukaryota; Metazoa; Chordata; Actinopteri; Salmoniformes; Salmonidae
Exons: 3
Source: RefSeq, a predicted model, not a curated record
GCCGGGGAACAGGUGAAGAUUGCUAUGUCCUUCCACACUUCGAGGUCCACAUCAGUUCGAGAGGCACAGCAACCAUCAUUGAAUGGACCUCCAAUACAAGAUUUUGAGGAAGCGGUUGGAAUCUGGUGGCGGGAUGCCAAGGAGAAGAACCCUAAGGCCCGAAGACCCUAGAAGACUUGGACUCCUACCCCCUAUUCCUCCACCAACAACUGAGGAACUUGUGCAAUCACAAGUGAGAAGAGGCCGAGCGUUAGGUGAACCUCGAGACCAUGCAGGAUCUCCAGAAACCUCCUCCAGCUCAGCAACCCUGUGAGAAACCCAGGUAAUGACCCACAUACAUACAAAUGACAUAAUUUGAAGUAGUAACAAUAAUAUUUUUUUCUGACUUAUCUGUUGGAAUACAUCUCUAGAUUAACAGUAAAGUCCCUGAUGGACCAAGACCCCUCUGAAGCCUCCACUAUCAAGCAACUAGGGGGAGACCUCCCUGCCUGCUUCCCAGUCCUAACCACAAAACUGAUGCAGCACUUUCUCCAUGUACCAGGCCACACACACAAACUGAUGACAGGAACAUACACAUGGACAGCUUAAGCUCUGUGGCUGGCUGGUAUAAUGAAGGAAUGGGAUGAAAUGAGCAUUGAUCUAAUGGUGUGAAGAGGCCCUACAGUGCCAGACCAUUUUCAUAGGUUUACUUUACUCUGUAAACAUGGCCUUAAUUUUGAGAAUACAUUACUUAAUUAAAGGCCCACCGUCAUCACAUGAUCACCCCAUUCAAUUUGCCAAACAGCUCCUAAAAGGCUUUUCACAAAAAGUGACAUCACACAUCCCAACUUGCAAACUAAUCAUUGGUUUAGAAGACAAAACAAGAGUGACAACUUGAUUCUAGCCUAUUGAAACAACACAGAGUAGACCAUCCCCUCCCCAAACCACUUGCUGCACACCUGAACCUUAUUUUGAUUUAGAUUGUGGUCGGUGGUGUACAUGAGGUGAUUUGAAUGGGGUGAUCAUGUGAUGACAGUGGGCCUUUAAACAGUUAUUUCAGAUUAAAUCACAGCUAGAUCCAUUGAUCCACCUGCUACGUCAUACACCUGUCAGCCAUAGCUCUAUUAAAAUAUAUUGUUUGCCUCUUUACCCUCCUCUAAUCCUCCCAUCCUUGUGUCAUGGGGCUCUACCUGCCUCUACGGGUGUAUAUUAUGUCUGGGCUGACACACAUCUUUUAUUUCUUAUUAGGUGACAAGUGACACAAGGUUCUGGAUCAUAGGUGUUUUUGAUCUGGUUAUAUUCUGAGUUUCUGUUUUAGCCAUUUAUCAGUUGACCAUGUUUCUUGGUAGCUAAGGGUUAACUUGAGUUUGAUCAUGUUCACAUUGCAUCUUAACUCCUUAAAGCUGGAAUUUGCGAGUCGUCUGUGACCCCCAGGACACACCUCUUUUAUUAUUUCAUUUGUAACAAAACCCAACACUUACCUCUUUUUCUCACUUCUCUUUUGGGGUGGAGUUGAUCCAAAUCCAAUACUAAUGAUGAUGAUGCUUGUUCAGUAGAACAUUUCUAAAAAAAAAACGUUGUCCCUGCUGACUACUCUGCUGUUUACAUUCUAGCUCUCCCAUGCACGCUCAUGCGGGCUCCCUCAUGCCCAAGCGCUCUCUCUCGCAUCUAUGCGCUCUCCCACUGUCUCACAACCAUAGAUUGUGUAUAUAUAAACAACACAAGAAGCGGGGGUAAGCCUUGGGUCAUGGACGACUCGCUGAUUACCACUUUAAAUAUGUCAUUGAUAUAAUUUGUCCAGGGGUAGUUAUGUGUUUUAUAUCCCAGUUGAAAACUCCUCUGGAAUAUUGGUACCAUAACCGAAUCAUUUCACACCUUUGUCUUAUUUCACAUUUCACUGGACAUCCCAUGCUCCUUGAAUAGCAAGGCUUGGAGUAAGUUCUCAUUUACCUGCAUAGACCUUUGCACAAGUCAUUGGUGUUAACUGUUGUUUUGAGGGUGACAUUUCAACCGUAGAAUUAUGUCAAUGGUAACCAAUUUUCAGUACAGACAAACGUUGUCUAAAAUGUGUAAAAUUGUGCCUUUUUAAAUUUUAUAUCCAGAAAAAAACGAAUAUGCAAACAAACUAAUGUAAAAUUAUUAUUUAUUCAAGCACACAUUCAGAUGUAUAAAUACAAUUUUAACUUUGUUGUGCCGGGAGAAAGUGCAGUGAUGACACUUUUGAGUGAGAAAUAAACUAACAACCUUUAGAAUC